CAGUCGCCGCGGGAAUACAGAGGGUGCGAGCGUUAAUCGGAUUUACUGGGCGUAAAGCGUGCGUAGGCGGCUUCUUAAGUCGGAUGUGAAAUCCCUGAGCUUAACUUAGGAAUUGCAUUCGAUACUGGGAAGCUAGAGUAUGGGAGAGGAUGGUAGAAUUCCAGGUGUAGCGGUGAAAUGCGUAGAGAUCUGGAGGAAUACCGAUGGCGAAGGCAGCCAUCUGGCCUAAUACUGACGCUGAGGUACGAAAGCAUGGUGAGCAAACAGGAUUAGAUACCCCCGUAGUCCCUGUCUCUUAUAC
RNAcentral lists this ribosomal RNA (301 nucleotides) under uncultured bacterium. RNAcentral's name for it is "partial 16S ribosomal RNA". It matches the Rfam family "Bacterial small subunit ribosomal RNA", at positions 509 to 807 of the family's 1533-position model. The record is from RNAcentral.